AACGAACACUGGCGGCGUGCCUAAUACAUACAAGUCGAGCGGACAGAAGGGAGCUUGCUCCCGGAUGUUAGCGGCGGACGGGUGAGUAACACGUGGGUAACCUGCCUGUAAGACUGGGAUAACUCCGGGAAACCGGAGCUAAUACCGGAUAGUUCCUUGAACCGCAUGGUUCAAGGAUGAAAAACGGUUUCGGCUGUCACUUACAGAUGGACCCGCGGCGCAUUAGCUAGUUGAUGGGGUAAUGGCUCACCAAGGCGACGAUGCGUAGCCGACCUGAGAGGGUGAUCGGCCACACUGGGACUGAGACACGGCCCAGACUCCUACGGGAGACAACAGUAGGGAAUCUUCCGCAAUGGACGAAAGUCUGACGGAGCAACGCCGCGUGAGUGAUGAAGGUUUUCGGAUCGUAAAGCUAUGUUGUUAGGGAAGAACAAAUGCGAGAGUAACUGCUCGCACCUUGACGGUACCUAACCAGAAAGUCACGGCUAACUUCGUGCCAGCCGCCGCGGUAA
This 512-nucleotide ribosomal RNA is filed under the name uncultured bacterium. RNAcentral describes it as "partial 16S ribosomal RNA". It matches the Rfam family "Bacterial small subunit ribosomal RNA", at positions 29 to 523 of the family's 1533-position model. The record is from RNAcentral.